GUCGAGAAUCUUUUGCAAUGCCCGCAAGGGUGACAAUGCGACGCCGCGUGUGCGAUGAAGGCCUUCGGGUCGUAAAGCACUGUCGGCCGGGAUGAAUCUCAAGGCUCUUAACAAGGGCUCUGGGUGACAGUACCGGCAGAGGAAGCCACGGCUAACUCCGUGCCAGCAGCCGCGGUAAUACGGAGGUGGCAGGCGUUACUCGGAUUGAUUGGGUGUAAAGGGUGCGUAGGCGGUAAUGUAAGUCGAAUGUGAAAUCCCAUGGCUUAACCAUGGAACUGCAUUCGAUACUGCUUUGCUUGAGUGAUAGAGAGGUAGAUGGAAUUCCCGGUGUAACAGUGAAAUGUGUAGAUAUCGGGAGGAACACCAGUGGCGAAGGCGAUCUACUGGCUAUCCACUGACGCUGAAGCACGAGAGCAUGGGGAGCAAACAGGAUUAGAAACCCUGGUAGUCC
This 451-nucleotide ribosomal RNA is filed under the name uncultured bacterium. RNAcentral describes it as "bacterial SSU rRNA". It matches the Rfam family "Bacterial small subunit ribosomal RNA", at positions 354 to 796 of the family's 1533-position model. The record is from RNAcentral.